Apis cerana (Asiatic honeybee) is the source of this 1692-nucleotide long non-coding RNA. RefSeq lists it as uncharacterized. NCBI's taxonomy places the organism in Eukaryota, Metazoa, Arthropoda, Insecta, Hymenoptera, Apidae. The record is from RefSeq and is a predicted model, not a curated record.
GGUCAUUGUGGCCAUCCACCUGUUUGACCGACAGAUUUUGUCGGCUACGUAAGAAUAAUUCCAUUUUCAGAGAUGUCGGUCAACAUAACGUGACCGGUGUCCACGUGGUCGCGAGCACGUGUACGAAACGCAAGACUAUUACAUAAGAAGCUGUGUAACUCAAGCUGAGCCGAAUCAGCAACAAACGCCCACGUCUCUUUGUUUCUACGUUCCUUUUCCUUAUGAAUUUUUCUCGACUUGCAGAAUAACACGAUUCCCUUAAAAAAGAAAAAAGUCCAAUCUCCAAGUCUUUAUCCAUAUUUUUCGAUAUUUCUAAAACGAGAAGAAUCAACUUUUAAGACAGAUCAUUUAUCGUUCAAUAUCGCGUUGAAAAUGCUCGACGAUUUUUUUUUUUUCUUUCAAGUUUUAUUGAUAAGACGAAAGGAAGGUUUCUUUUUUUUUUAUUUCGAAGAAAAAAACUAUAAAGGCAAUUUUCUCAGGAUACUCGCGAGAAAAUAUUACUCUAAGACAUUGCACAACGAGCUGUCGAUAUACGCGAAACGGGACCUCGCGUAAUGAAUCUUCAUUCCUAUAAAUAGGCAUGUAUCAAACCGUCCGGAUUCCUCGACACACUUAACGAGAUUCUCGCGCAAUUCUUUAACAUCGUACACUCCUCGUGACGACACUGUUUCUUUUUUUUUGCGGAAAAGAUGUUUUACGCUCUCUGGAAUUUUUUUCGAACUCUUCGCAACGCGGAAAAAUUCUCGGUUGAAGGAAAAGCGAUUCUACCCGUUCGCGGCCGAAGAAUCGUGAAUUCGAACGGAAGCAGGUGGCAAGUUGGCGUCGAAUGGCUCGACGCGGUACCGUUCAACGUACCACAUUUCUCCAGCGUUAAAGAGACGAAUCUCGGUUGACACACUGUUGGUCCAAAUAACGGGACGACGGGGUUACAUUGCAACGUUGCACGAAGCAACGUCCCGCCUCCGUUCGACAUCUCCCCACGAGAAUCCUCGUUGUGGAAUCUGUUGCAUAAUCGGACCAAUAUUGCCAGUGAAAUUUUACGCGUCGCGAGUUACAAGUUAACAACUUUUCUUACGCAACUCGAAUCGAUUUGUAACUCGAACCCGAAUAUAUCGCGUUACGCGAAACUAUAAUGCCGUGUAACGUAUAAUUAGGCAAUUAUAAUAUAAUAACGAGAGGAAGAUUAAUAAUAAUAAUAAAGUGAAUAAUGUUCUCGCGUUUAUCGUCGUGGUUAAUUAUCGUCGUUAAUACGACAUUAUAUAAUCAUUUCGCAAUGAUAAUUUUAAUCGGGAAGAAAAAGAAGUGGGGGGGGAAAAAAAAUAUGGAAAUCGACGAGAGUAAAAACGGAUACAAUAAUAUUUCCCCCAGAGGAAAUGAAAAAAUAUAUUAAAAUUCCCACGAUUAAGUAAUAUCUCGGAAAUUAAAUCGAAAUAAUUCUAUUUUGCUUCUUUAUCGAUAUCUCAAAAAAAAAAAAAAAUUAAAUCCGAGAGCUUCGUUUUAAUCACCGACAAUUAAUUAAUAAAUAAGAUGUUUCCAACGAUAUUUCGAUUUAAAAAAGAUGCCAAGUCGUUAUCUCGAGAUGGAAAUUUUAUUUCUUAGCUGUAUCUUUUCUGGAAGAUAAAAAUAAGAAAAAUUCCGCUUUUUAUUAAAAAAAAAUAAUAAUAAAUAAAAAGAAGCGAUUUUAAGAAACAA